RNAcentral lists this ribosomal RNA (448 nucleotides) under Granulicatella adiacens. RNAcentral's name for it is "bacterial SSU rRNA". It matches the Rfam family "Bacterial small subunit ribosomal RNA", at positions 28 to 463 of the family's 1533-position model. The record is from RNAcentral. Lineage: Bacteria; Bacillati; Bacillota; Bacilli; Lactobacillales; Carnobacteriaceae.
GACGAACGCUGGCGGCGUGCUUAAUACAUGCCAGUCGAACGAGAGCGACCGGUGCUUGCACUGGUCAAUUCUAGUGGCGAACGGGUGAGUAACACGUGGGUAACCUGCCCAUCAGAGGGGGAUAACAUCCGGAAACGGAUGCUAAAACCGCAUAGGUCUUCGAGCCGCAUGGCUUGAAGAGGAAAAGAGGCGCAAGCUUCUGCUGAUGGAUGGACCCGCGGUGCAUUAGCUAGUUGGUGAGGUAACGGCUCACCAAGGCCGUGAUGCAUAGCCGACCUGAGAGGGUGAUCGGCCACAUUGGGACUGAGACACGGCCCAAACUCCUACGGGAGGCAGCAGUAGGGAAUCUUCCGCAAUGGACGCAAGUCUGACGGAGCAACGCCGCGUGAGUGAAGAAGGUUUUCGGAUCGUAAAACUCUGUUGUUAGAGAAGAACAAGUGCUAGAGUA